GUGCUCUCUUUGGCAGCACAUAUACUAAAAUUGGAACGAUACAGAGAAGAUUAGCAUGGCCUCUGUGCAAGGAUGACAUGCAAAUUUGUGAAGCGUUCCAUAUUUUA
Molecule: small nuclear RNA, 107 nt
Organism: Otolemur garnettii (small-eared galago)
Lineage: Eukaryota; Metazoa; Chordata; Mammalia; Primates; Galagidae
Source: Ensembl